Salvelinus fontinalis (brook trout) is the source of this 556-nucleotide long non-coding RNA. RefSeq lists it as uncharacterized. The record is from RefSeq and is a predicted model, not a curated record. The transcript has 3 exons. NCBI's taxonomy places the organism in Eukaryota, Metazoa, Chordata, Actinopteri, Salmoniformes, Salmonidae.
CUCCUUCCCCAGCUCACCUACUGACUAGGUAUCCCCUUUCUCCUUCCCCAGCUCACCUACUGACUAGGUAUCUCCUUUCCCCUUCCCCAGCUCACCUGUUGACUAGGUAUCCCCUUUCCCCUUCCCCAGCUCACCUACUGACUAGGUAUCCCCUUUCCACUUCCCCAGCUCACCUACUGACUAGGUAUCUCCUUUCCCCUUCCCCAGCUCACCUACUGACUAGGUAUCUCCUUUCCCCUUCCCCAGGUCACCUACUGACUAGGUAUCCCCUUUCCUCUUCUCCAGCUCACCUGUUGACUAGGUAUCCCCUUUCCCCUUCCCCAGCUCACCUACUGACUAGGUAUCCCCUUUCUCCUUCCCCAGCUCACCUGCUGACUAGGUAUCCCCUUUCCACUUCCCCAGCUCACCUACUGACUAGGUAUCUCCUUUCCCCUUCCCCAGCUCACCUACUGACUAGGUAUCCCCUUUCCCCUUCCCCAGCUCACCUGCUGACUAGGUAUCCCCUUUCCCCUUCCCCAGCUCACCUGUUGACUAGGUAUCCCCCUUCCCCUUCCCC